UGGGGAAUAUUGCACAAUGGGCGCAAGCCUGAUGCAGCCAUGCCGCGUGUGUGAAGAAGGCCUUCGGGUUGUAAAGCACUUUCAGCGAGGAGGAAGGUGGUGAAGCUUAAUACGUCAUCAAUUGACGUUACUCGCAGAAGAAGCACCGGCUAACUCCGUGCCAGCAGCCGCGGUAAUACGGAGGGUGCAAGCGUUAAUCGGAAUUACUGGGCGUAAAGCGCACGCAGGCGGUUUGUUAAGUCGAUGUGAAAUCCCCGGGCUCAACCUGGGAACUGCAUUUGAAACUGGCAAGCUAGAGUCUCGUAGAGGGGGGUAGAAUUCCAGGUGUAGCGGUGAAAUGCGUAGAGAUCUGGAGGAAUACCGGUGGCGAAGGCGGCCCCCUGGACGAAGACUGACGCUCAGGUGCGAAA
Molecule: ribosomal RNA, 410 nt
Filed under: uncultured bacterium
Lineage: Bacteria
Description: partial 16S ribosomal RNA
Rfam family: Bacterial small subunit ribosomal RNA
Source: RNAcentral